This 429-nucleotide ribosomal RNA is filed under the name Streptococcus cristatus. RNAcentral describes it as "bacterial SSU rRNA". It matches the Rfam family "Bacterial small subunit ribosomal RNA", at positions 28 to 449 of the family's 1533-position model. Lineage: Bacteria; Bacillati; Bacillota; Bacilli; Lactobacillales; Streptococcaceae. The record is from RNAcentral.
GACGAACGCUGGCGGCGUGCCUAAUACAUGCAAGUAGAACGCUGAAGGGAGAGCUUGCUCUUCUGGAUGAGUUGCGAACGGGUGAGUAACGCGUAGGUAACCUGCCUGGUAGCGGGGGAUAACUAUUGGAAACGAUAGCUAAUACCGCAUAACAUUGACUAUUGCAUGAUAGUCAAUUGAAAGGUGCAAAUGCACCACUACCAGAUGGACCUGCGUUGUAUUAGCUAGUUGGUGGGGUAACGGCUCACCAAGGCGACGAUACAUAGCCGACCUGAGAGGGUGAUCGGCCACACUGGGACUGAGACACGGCCCAGACUCCUACGGGAGGCAGCAGUAGGGAAUCUUCGGCAAUGGACGGAAGCCUGACCGAGCAACGCCGCGUGAGUGAAGAAGGUUUUCGGAUCGUAAAGCUCUGUUGUAAGAGAAGAA